Molecule: non-coding RNA, 112 nt
Organism: Acanthosepion pharaonis
Lineage: Eukaryota; Metazoa; Mollusca; Cephalopoda; Sepiida; Sepiidae
Source: the annotation of a GenBank genome assembly
CGCGGCCAUAUCACGUUGAAGCACCGGUUCCCGUACGAUCACCGAAGUUAAGCAACGUCAAGCCAGGUCAGUACCUAGAUCGCUGCCCGCUUUGUAAUGCCAGAAGCUGUAA